UACAGAGGUCCCAAGCGUUGUUCGGAUUCACUGGGCGUAAAGGGUGCGUAGGUGGUGGGGUAAGUCGGAUGUGAAAUCUCCGAGCUCAACUCGGAAAUGGCAUUGGAAACUACCCUGCUAGAGGGUCGGAGGGGGGACUGGAAUACUUGGUGUAGCAGUGAAAUGCGUAGAUAUCGGGAGGAACACCAGUGGCGAAGGCGACUACCUGGCCUGUUCUUGACGCUGAGGCGCGAAAGCUAGGGGAGCAAACGGG
RNAcentral lists this ribosomal RNA (253 nucleotides) under uncultured bacterium. RNAcentral describes it as "partial 16S ribosomal RNA". It matches the Rfam family "Bacterial small subunit ribosomal RNA", at positions 524 to 776 of the family's 1533-position model. The record is from RNAcentral.